UCAAACUUGGUCAUUUAGAGGAAGUAAAAGUCGUAACAAGGUUUCCGUAGGUGAACCUGCGGAAGGAUCAUUACUGAGUGAUGGGUUUCUUUCACGAGAGCCCGAAUCUCCCAACCCUUUGUCUACUGAACCGAAUUUUUACUGAUGACGUCCCGUGGGCGCGAGCCUCCGGGGCCGAUUCUUUAAACACUCUUUGUUUAAAAAACAUUUUAACCAAACAAAAAACUUUCAACAACGGAUCUCUUGGUUCUGGCAUCGAUGAAGAACGCAGC
RNAcentral lists this unclassified non-coding RNA (272 nucleotides) under uncultured fungus. Its description in RNAcentral is "partial contains small subunit ribosomal RNA, internal transcribed spacer 1, and 5.8S ribosomal RNA". The stretch from base 1 to 73 matches the Rfam family "Eukaryotic small subunit ribosomal RNA", at positions 1759 to 1831 of the family's 1831-position model. Lineage: Eukaryota; Fungi. The record is from RNAcentral.